This 249-nucleotide long non-coding RNA is filed under the name Mytilus galloprovincialis (Mediterranean mussel). Lineage: Eukaryota; Metazoa; Mollusca; Bivalvia; Mytilida; Mytilidae. The record is from RNAcentral.
GGUUGAUAUUUGUGAUGCAGAAACUUCAAUUUAUUGUCUUGUAUAUAUUUGUUAAGUACAGCAUGUGUUGUUUUUUGCUUGAAUUAUUUUCUAAAAUAAACUGUUUUACCCAUUCAUGAAUUAUCGUUUUGUUUAUUCUAUAUGUAUUGUCUUACAGUUUACUAUCGAAGGAGAGCUGGUUUUUUUUAAAUAGUGGCACCAAAAUUAGAUGAGUUUUUGAUUUUACAGGUACAGUAUUUUUUAAGAAGG